AGGUGCGAUCAUACCAACACUAAUCCGCCGGAUCCCCUCGGAACUCCGCAGUUAAGCAUUCUUGGGUGAGAGUAGUACUAGGAUGGGUGACCUCCUGUUGCACCUC
Non-coding RNA from Lupinus angustifolius (narrow-leaved blue lupine), 106 nucleotides. The record is from Rfam. Lineage: Eukaryota; Viridiplantae; Streptophyta; Magnoliopsida; Fabales; Fabaceae.